Molecule: ribosomal RNA, 615 nt
Filed under: uncultured bacterium
Lineage: Bacteria
Description: bacterial SSU rRNA
Rfam family: Bacterial small subunit ribosomal RNA
Source: RNAcentral
CCUACGGGAGGCAGCAGUGGGGAAUUUUGGACAAUGGGCGCAAGCCUGAUCCAGCAAUGCCGCGUGAGUGAAGAAGGCCUUCGGGUUGUAAAGCUCUUUUGUCAGGGAAGAAACGGUGGGGGCUAAUAUCCCCUGCUAAUGACGGUACCUGAAGAAUAAGCACCGGCUAACUACGUGCCAGCAGCCGCGGUAAUACGUAGGGUGCAAGCGUUAAUCGGAAUUACUGGGCGUAAAGCGUGCGCAGGCGGUUUUGUAAGUUUGUCGUGAAAUCCCCGGGCUCAACCUGGGAAUGGCGAUGAAGACUGCAAGGCUAGAAUCUGGCAGAGGGGGGUUAGAAUUCCACGUGUAGCAGUGAAAUGCGUAGAGAUGUGGAGGAACACCGAUGGCGAAGGCAGCCCCCUGGGUCAAGAUUGACGCUCAUGCACGAAAGCGUGGGGAGCAAACAGGAUUAGAUACCCUGGUAGUCCACGCCCUAAACGAUGUCUACUAGUUGUCGGGUUUUAAUAACUUGGUAACGCAGCUAACGCGUGAAGUAGACCGCCUGGGGAAUACGGUCGCAAGNUUAAAACCUNAANAGAUAGAGCGNGAGAGNGCGAGACGACGACGAGGAGGAGG